AUUAGGAUAAGCUAAAAAAGCUAUUAGGUUCAUACCCUAAAAAUGGGUUGACCCUUCUAUUA
RNAcentral lists this transfer RNA (62 nucleotides) under Coleolaelaps cf. liui XFX-2019. Its description in RNAcentral is "tRNA-Met". Lineage: Eukaryota; Metazoa; Arthropoda; Arachnida; Mesostigmata; Laelapidae. The record is from RNAcentral.